GUUUCCGUAGGUAUUGGUUUGCCUGCGGCUGUCAGUCUGCUUUGGCAGGCAACAUCUCUAUCUUGCUGGAAUUUACAAAUUGUACUACCAGCGGCUCUUAUGAGUUCACAGAUCAAAUAGAGGUGGCCCUCUGGGUUAAGAUAUGAUCGGAUGCAAGCUUGGUUGCUUGCAGUAAAUCGGAACCUGCGGAAGGAUCAUUACUGAGAACUUGCCCUUCGGGGUAGAUCUCCCACCCUCUGUUUACAUACUUUGUUGCUUUGGCAGGCCUGCCUUAGUGCUACUGGCCUUGGCUAGUUAGUGCCUGCCAGAGGAUCAACACUCUGAAUAAUUUAUUGUCUGAGUAAAAUUUUAAUAUUUUAAAACUUUCAACAACGGAUCUCUUGGUUCUGGCAUCGAUGAAGAACGCAGCGAAAUGCGAUAAGUAAUGUGAAUUGCAGAAUUCAGUGAAUCAUCGAAUCUUUGAACGCACAUUGCGCCCUCUGGUAUUCCGGGGGGCAUGCCUGUUCGAGCGUCAUUACAACCCUCAAGCUCUGCUUGGUAUUGGGCGUCACCUUUUAUUGUGCGCCUCAAAAUCAGUGGCGGUGCCACCUGGCUCCUAGCGUAGUAAAACUUUCUCGCUACAGAGCUGUGGUGUUUGCUUGCCAGCAACCCUUAUUUUUUAUAGGUUGACCUCGGAUCAGGUAGGGAUACCCGCUGAACUUAAGCAUAUCAAUAAGCGGAGGAAAAGAAACCAACAGGGGUUGCCUUAGUAACGGCGAGUGAAGCGGCAACAGCUCAAAUUUGAAAUCUGGCGUAUGCCCGAAUUGUAAUUUGUAGAGGAUGUUUCGAAUGCGGUCCAGUCUAAGUUCCUUGGAACAGGACGUCAUAGAGGGUGAGAAUCCCGUAUGUGACUGGGUGCCAAUUUCAUGUGAAACUCCUUCAACGAGUCGAGUUGUUUGGGAA
Molecule: ribosomal RNA, 942 nt
Filed under: uncultured fungus
Lineage: Eukaryota; Fungi
Description: eukaryotic LSU rRNA
Rfam family: Eukaryotic large subunit ribosomal RNA (bases 667-942)
Source: RNAcentral